This 447-nucleotide ribosomal RNA is filed under the name uncultured bacterium. RNAcentral's name for it is "bacterial SSU rRNA". It matches the Rfam family "Bacterial small subunit ribosomal RNA", at positions 355 to 825 of the family's 1533-position model. The record is from RNAcentral.
UGGGGAAUAUUGGACAAUGGGCGCAAGCCUGAUCCAGCCAUGCCGCGUGAGUGAUGAAGGCCUUAGGGUUGUAAAGCUCUUUCACCGGAGAAGAUAAUGACGGUAUCCGGAGAAGAAGCCCCGGCUAACUUCGUGCCAGCAGCCGCGGUAAUACGAAGGGGGCUAGCGUUGUUCGGAAUUACUGGGCGUAAAGCGCGCGUAGGCGGAUAUUUAAGUCAGGGGUGAAAUCCCAGAGCUCAACUCUGGAACUGCCUUUGAUACUGGGUAUCUUGAGUAUGGAAGAGGUAAGUGGAAUUCCGAGUGUAGAGGUGAAAUUCGUAGAUAUUCGGAGGAACACCAGUGGCGAAGGCGGCUUACUGGUCCAUUACUGACGCUGAGGUGCGAAAGCGUGGGGAGCAAACAGGAUUAGAUACCCCAGUAGUCCCUGAGCGGGCUGGCAAGGCGCAU